Hordeum vulgare subsp. vulgare (domesticated barley) is the source of this 4924-nucleotide RNA transcript. RefSeq lists it as uncharacterized. Lineage: Eukaryota; Viridiplantae; Streptophyta; Magnoliopsida; Poales; Poaceae. The transcript has 4 exons. The record is from RefSeq and is a predicted model, not a curated record.
UAAAAAACAUAAGCUGUACAGCAGGCCUCAAUUUUCACAUAUUUCAAGAGAGUCAGUGUGCACAAAAGAUGUAACGUUAACUCUUCUCCAAUCCACCAUCAACAAAAUAAGUUGGUUGUUUUCAUGUAGGAUUAGCGCGAUAAACUGUAGCAGCAGUACAGCACAGGCAGAAUGUGCUACCUCUCAUAUCGGAGCAGCACAAUAAGCUGUGACGGGACUAGCGGAAUGUGCUCCGAUCACUAACAAGUCAUCAUAGCGACCUGUCAGCUACCCAUUGCAAAGAUGGAUAUGUUGAGAAAGAUGACUAGACAAUACCACUAUACCAGUGAUCCGAUUAUCCGAACCAAACCCAUGCCUCUGCUAGUAAAGUUAUGCGGAGGAAAUGGUUUCUGUAAAACUUUACUCUCUUUCAGUUCAGCCUGAACUGAAAGAGAGCUGAUUGUCCACCGUAUGUCUUUAUGGAACUGCUAGUGCAAAGAAGCACUUGGUGCACUGCAAGGACAGGCAAAAAUGGGUACAUGAAUUUCACCUUGGUGAUAUUAGAAAACAGAGGCAGUGUGCUCCUGUUCGUUGCCGCAUUCGCCCGGCAGUGGUUUCAGCAGAGCAGAGCAGAGCAGGAAUCCCUUUCCUCUCCUACCCUUCCUGGUUCUGGCUUCUCAAAGGUAGAAAAUGGACUGUCGAUUGGUCUUGCAAAUUGUCAGAGGUGAGGGUUUCCUGAAUUUACCUGAUAGAAUAGCACCCUAUGCGGUCGCACACUGAUGAUCUUCACUCAUGGAUUUUCAGUUUCAGAUACUGCUUCACAAGACCAUAUGCCACACCACCUGAGCUUGAAUUAUAUAUACUGCACGUGUUAAACCUGUAAGAAGUAACUGCAAGAAAACCCAACCCGGCAUAAUUGGCUAUGGAAGACGGGUGCAUGACACAGCUAUAUGGACAUAUCAAUUGCACUAUGAACUAGUGUUUAGGCCAUGGAUGUGGAAGCUCCAAUAUAGACAGGUAGCGCCUCAUUGGCUUCUAGAUGUGGAUGCUCCAAGGGAAGGACUAGCUCUCAAAACAAAAUCCCUUCAUUUUUGGUACCUGUAAGGACAAUAUUGGACCAUUUACACUAGUCAUCAGACAAACUCAGAAUAUACUUUUCUGACCAUUCAAAAAAAAAAAAACUUUACUACUCCUAUAUAGUACUGCACAACCAAUGAGUGAUGGCAAAAGGAAAUUUUGUUCCUGUUAAUUCUUUGUUCUGCUGUGUGAUACUUAAAAGUUAAAACUGGUCGUGCAAUCUCAAUCAGCAGUCCCUUUCAUAGAGGCAAAACAUGUGUUGUAGACUUGCAGUGAUAUAUGGACUCACAGCACUGAAGUCUUUGGUGUCGCUCUCAUGCUACUACUUGUAUAUCUCCACCACACAGGCCAUUUGGUGCUCACCUUGACCUCUGAUUUCAUUCAGAACCACAGAACUGCUAUCACAUCCAAACAGAAAAAAGAGGAUUUUAUCAUGGCGGAGCUCAUCUUCUCGGCGGUUGUCGGGGACAUGGUCGGCAGGGUGAUAUCUCUUCUUGCUGGCCGGUUCAAAGGCCAAGGGUGCACCGAAGCCAAGCUACGGAGGAUUUGCCAUAUGCUUGUCAAGGUUCACAGUGCAGUAGAAGAGGCCAAAGGGAAGCAGAUCACAAACUGCGGCACCCUCGAGUGGCUUUCAGAGCUCAACGACGGGGUGUACCAGGGCCGCUACUUGCUCGACACGGUCAGAUGCAGACAGCAGGAGCUUGAAGAUGAGCAUGAUGACAAGGUAGUUGGACAGCCUUUCUCUUUAUCCUUGCUUAAUCCUGCAAAGCGCGUCCGCGUAGCAGCGUGUGCCGUGAAGAGCCUAUUGUCUCGCCAUGAUGUUGGUGUUGGUGAGGACAUAGAUAGAGUGGUAGAGAUCUUGGAAACCGUAUCUAGUGAUCUCAAGGAGUUCAUGAUGCUCCUACACAACUGCCAGCCCAUCCAUCGUCCUUUGGCUACUAAUAUCUUUGUCGAGGGGCAGAUGUUCGGCCGACAUGUCGAGAAAGAGAGGAUCAUCAACUUCCUGCUUAACGAUGGUGGUCCGUCAACUGGAGAAAGAGUGGGUGUGCUUCCCAUCGUCGGCGACAUAGGAGUCGGGAAGACCACCCUUGCGCAGCAUGUCUGCGAUGAUGAGAGGGUGCGCAGCCACUUUCCAAUAAUCUUAUAUUCCAAUCUCUCAUACACCAGGGCAAUGGCAAGGGGUGAGGCAGCAUUUGUUGUAGGAUCCAAACACACAGUUAGAGACGCUAAAGAAUUCAUCGAGUCACUGCAUGUACUCAAGGAGAAAUACCUCACCAAGAGGUUCUUGAUGGUAUUUGAAGAUGUUAACGCGGACAAGAAGCAGAUGCUAGAAGAGUUACUACAGAUCAUAAGACAUGGCAAACAUGGAAGCAGGAUCAUAAUCACCGCCAACAGCAGGGCCAUUGCGGCGAGCAUGGGAACGGUGCAGCCGAUCAGUCUGAAGGUUAUGCCGCACCAGGAGUACUGGUUCUUCUUCAAAGCCCACGCGUUUGCCGGCAGAGACGUCGAGGAGGACCCAAGGAUGCUAGCAGAGGGCAAAGCGAUUGCAAGGAAGCUAAAUGGAUCCUUCUUCGGUGCGAAAAUUAUCGGUGGGGUGCUGAAGGCUCAUCCGAAUCCUUGGUUCUGGCGCAAGGUGCUGAGAAGCAAUAUAGGGGGGUUAUCUCUGUUGGGCGACGGAAUUGAGUACAUUGCAGAUUUGACAGAGAAUUUGCUACCGAUCGGCGCAGACAUGUGUAAGGUGACCAUUUGCAAGAGUCCAUAUCCCUCUCAGACAGAACUAGCCAGGUUGGUAUAUCAGGCAAGUCCUAGCGCUAGUGUUGUUGCCCCGGGUGGUGAUAACGGGUUUGCAAGAGUCUUGUUGUGCAGCUUGCUUGUGUUUCUUCCCUGGUACAUAUACAUGGAGCUAGCUUGGAUAACUGUAACCUGGCCCUUGAUGUGUGGAAGGAAAAGUACAGCACACAGACGGAUUCACUGAUGGUUUUUCAAUUUCAGAUACUUCAGAAGACAACAUGCCACACCACCUGAGCCUGAAUUGUACUCUACGUGUUAAACAUAAAGGCUGGGGUACCAGGUAACUUGCGAACAUCACAAAGUUGCUAGAGGAAUUUAUCAUGGCGGAGGUCAUCUUCUCGGCGGUUGUCGGAGACAUGGUCGGCAGGAUGAUAUCUCUUCUUGCCGGCCAGUUCAAGGGCCAACAGUGCACCGAAGCCAAACUACGCAAGAUUUGCCAUAUGCUCGUCAAAGUUUAUAGUGCAGUAGAGGAGGCCAAAGGGAGGCAGAUCACAAACUGUGGCACCCUCGAGUGGCUUUCAGAGCUCAACGCCGGUGUGUACCAGGGCCGCUACUUGCUCGACACGGUCAGAUGCAGAGAACAGGAGCUUGAAGAUGAGCAUGCUGACGAGGUAGUUGCACAACCUUUCUCUUUCUCCUUGUUUAACCCUGCAAAGCGUGUGCGUGUAGUGGCCUACGCCGUGAAGAGCCUACUGUUUCACCAUGAUAUUGGUGGUCCUGAGGAGAUAGAGAGAGUGGUGGAGAUCUUGGAAACAAUAUCCUGUGAUCUCAAGGAGUUCAUGAUGCUCAUACAGAACUGUCAGCUGAUCCAUCGUCCUUUGACUACUAAUAUCUUCAUUGAGGGGCAGAUGUUCGGCCGACAUGUCGAAAAGGAGAGGAUCAUCAACUUCCUACUUCACGAUGGUGGUCCAUCAACUGGAAGAAAAGUGGGUGUGCUUCCCAUUGUCGGUGACAUGGGAACCGGGAAGACCACCCUUGCGCAGCAUGUCUGCGAUGAUGAGAGGGUGCGCAACCACUUUCCAAUAAUUUUGUAUUCCAAUUUCUCAUAUACCAGAGAAAUGGCACAUGGGCAGGCAGCGUUCGUUGUAGGAUCCAAACAUGCAGUUAGAGAUGCUAAAAAAUUCAUCGACUCACUGCAUAUACUCAAGGAGAAAUACCUCACCGAGAGGUUCUUGAUGAUAUUUGAAGAUGUCGAUGAGGGCAAGAAACAAAUGCUAGAAGAGUUACUGCCGAUCUUAAGACAUGGCAAACAUGGAAGCAGGAUCAUAAUCACCACAAACAGCAAGGCCGUCGCGGCGAGCAUGGGAACGGUGCAGCCGAUCAGUCUGAAGGUUAUGCCGCACCAGGAGUACUGGUUCUUCUUCAAGGCGCACGCGUUUGCUGGCAGAGAUGUCGAGGAGGACCCAAGGAUGCUAGCAGCAGGCAAGGCAAUUGCGAGGAAGCUAAAUGGGUCCUUCUUCGGAGCGAAAAUCAUUGGCGGGGUGCUGAAAGCUCAUCCUAAUCCCCGGUUCUGGAGCAAGGUGCUGAGGAGCAAUAUAGGGGGGUUAUCUGUGUUGGGCGAUGGAAUUGGGUACAUUGGAGAUUUGGCAGGCAAUUUGGUACCAAUCUACGCAGACGUGUGUAAGGUGACCAUUUGUAAGAAUCCAUUUAUCUUUCAGACAGAACUGGCUAGGUUGGAGGAUCUGUAUCAGGCAAGUCCGCUUGGCGAUAACCGGUUUGCAAAAGCUCUGUUGUGCAGGUCAAUGUUGCCAUUCCAACUCCUGAACUACGCUGAUGAUUGCAAUGUGCGCCGAUCUGACUAUCCAGCAGAGUUCAUCAAAGUUUAAGGAAGUAGACUUUGCCCAUAUACUUCCGUCAAGAAAAGGUUUACCGAUAUAGGGAUGUGAAUAUCAGACAGGAACUAAAACCUGUUUACAUGGAAUCUGAUGCAAUCGUCCCCAUGGGAUUGACUGCUCCAUGUAGAGCUGAAUGCUCUGUUUUGAGUUGUAUUAUUGUUGUUUUUCUUGCCUUGCUCCAAUAACUGUAACGUGGCCCUUAAUGUACAGAAUGACAAGUAGUGAGUCUGUUAUGUAGUGCC